CUCAAUCAAGUUAGUUAGUUAUGUUGUUCAAGCCUUCUAAAUCUUUAGUGGUAUUAUGACAACUUGUUCUAUCAAUUCCUGAGAGAACAGAGUUUAAAAUCUAUUCUAAUGUUCUGCUGCUCUGUGGCCUUGAGGAGCUUCUUCCUGUCCUCUCAUCUCUUCACCUUGUUCUGGGGUAAAUCAUCUCUGGACCGCCUUACCUGCUGAGCAGCUCACUGGAGACCACACCGUGGAGGCACACCACACAGAACAGCCAAACUCCCCAGGCCACAACCAGGCUACACCUCCUGAAAGACAACUGGAGAACCAAAGAGCAUCAGUCUUUGUGGCCUCCCUGUACCAUCUCCUCCUACCAUCAGAGCAUACCAGAGCCUCCAAACUCUUCUUGGGUAGUGUCAGAACCUGCAACGGUCAUGUUAAUUCAGUAAAAAUGUCUGUGUCUUAGAUCUGAGUGCAGUCGCCUCCGUUGACCUUUGAGCUCCCUAAGGACAGAAAUCAGGUCUUAGCCCUAGAGGGUUCCUCCACUGAAUGGAGAGCUCUGCACAUAGCAGGGGCUCUUGAAAUGGCAUCACCAAAGUCGGUAAGAAUCAAGAGGUUUGUUCUCCUAUGCAAAUUGGAUAGUCCAAAUUAAAAUUCCCCUUCCUCCUGAUUAUUU
Molecule: long non-coding RNA, 655 nt
Filed under: Homo sapiens (human)
Lineage: Eukaryota; Metazoa; Chordata; Mammalia; Primates; Hominidae
Description: HSALNT0368385
Source: RNAcentral